This 402-nucleotide ribosomal RNA is filed under the name Verrucomicrobiota bacterium. RNAcentral describes it as "Verrucomicrobia bacterium partial 16S ribosomal RNA". It matches the Rfam family "Bacterial small subunit ribosomal RNA", at positions 355 to 776 of the family's 1533-position model. Lineage: Bacteria; Pseudomonadati; Verrucomicrobiota. The record is from RNAcentral.
UGGGGAAUUUUGCACAAUGGGGGAAACCCUGAUGCAGCGACGCCGCGUGAUUUAGAAGGCCUUCGGGUUGUAAAAAUCUUUUUUAUGGGAUGAAAAUGACAGUACCAUAAGAAUAAGGUCCGGCUAAAUACGUGCCAGCAGCCGCGGUAAUACGUAUGGACCGAGCGUUGUCCGGAAUCAUUGGGCGUAAAGGGUACGUAGGCGGCCCAGUAAGUUAGAAGUGAAAUCCUAUAGCUCAACUAUAGUAAGCUUUUAAAACUGCUCAUCUUGAGGUAUGGAAGGGAAAGUGGAAUUCCUAGUGUAGCGGUGAAAUGCGCAGAUAUUAGGAGGAAUACCGGUGGCGAAGGCGACUUUCUGGCCAUAAACUGACGCUGAGGUACGAAAGCGUGGGUAGCAAACAGG